GACGAACGCUGGCGGCGUGCUUAACACAUGCAAGUCGAACGGUGAAGCGCCUUCCUUUUUGGUGGGUGUGGAUGAGUGGCGAACGGGUGAGUAACACGUGAGUAACCUGCCCCCUUCUUCUGGAUAACCGCAUGAAAGUGUGGCUAAUACGGGAUAUUCUGGGUCUGUCGCAUGAUGGGUCUGGGAAAGAUAUUGUUGCGGUGGGGGAUGGGCUCGCGGCCUAUCAGCUUGUUGGUGGGGUGAUGGCCUACCAAGGCGGUGACGGGUAGCCGGCCUGAGAGGGUAGACGGUCACACUGGGAGUGAGCCACGGGCCAGACUCCUACGGGAGGCAGCAGUGGGGAAUAUUGCACAGUGGGCGCAAGCCUGAUGCAGCGACGCCGCGUGAGGGAUGGAGGCCUUCGGGUUGUGAACCUCUUUCGCCAGUGAAGCAGGCCUGCCUCGUUUGUGGGUGGGUUGACGGUAGCUGGAUAAGAAGCGCCGGCUAACUACGUG
RNAcentral lists this ribosomal RNA (494 nucleotides) under uncultured bacterium. Its description in RNAcentral is "partial 16S ribosomal RNA". It matches the Rfam family "Bacterial small subunit ribosomal RNA", at positions 28 to 507 of the family's 1533-position model. The record is from RNAcentral.